Molecule: ribosomal RNA, 465 nt
Filed under: uncultured bacterium
Lineage: Bacteria
Description: bacterial SSU rRNA
Rfam family: Bacterial small subunit ribosomal RNA
Source: RNAcentral
CUACGGGAGGCAGCAGUGGGGAAUUUUGGACAAUGGGGGGAACCCUGAUCCAGCAACGCCGCGUGAAUGAAGAAGGCCUUAGGGUUGUAAAGUUCUUUUGUCUGGGAGCAAAGGUUGUAUGUUAAUAGCAUACAAAGAUGAGAGUACCAGAAGAAUAAGCACCGGCUAACUACGUGCCAGCAGCCGCGGUAAUACGUAGGGUGCGAGCGUUAAUCGGAAUAACUGGGCGUAAAGGGUGCGUAGGCGGUUAUGUAAGUUAGAUGUGAAAUACCUGGGCUUAACCUAGGAACUGCAUUUAAGACUGCAUGUCUAGAGUUUGUCAGAGGGGGGUAGAAUUCCAAGUGUAGCAGUGAAAUGCGUAGAGAUUUGGAGGAAUACCGAUGGCGAAGGCAGCCCCCUGGGAUAGAACUGACGCUGAAGCACGAAAGCGUGGGUAGCAAACAGGAUUAGAAACCCGAGUAGUCC